This 468-nucleotide ribosomal RNA is filed under the name uncultured bacterium. RNAcentral's name for it is "partial 16S ribosomal RNA". It matches the Rfam family "Bacterial small subunit ribosomal RNA", at positions 28 to 507 of the family's 1533-position model. The record is from RNAcentral.
GACGAACGCUGGCGGCGUGCUUAACACAUGCAAGUCGAACGGAAAGGCCCUGCUUUUGUGGGGUGCUCGAGUGGCGAACGGGUGAGUAACACGUGAAUAACCUGCCCUUGACUUUGGGAUAACUUCAGGAAACUGGGGCUAAUACCGGAUAGGAGCUCCUGCUGCAUGGUGGGGGUUGGAAAGUUUCGGCGGUUGGGGAUGGACUCGCGGCUUAUCAGCUUGUUGGUGGGGUAGUGGCUUACCAAGGCUUUGACGGGUAGCCGGCCUGAGAGGGUGACCGGCCACAUUGCGACUGAGAUACGGCCCAGACUCCUACGGGAGGCAGCAGUGGGGAAUAUAGCACAAUGGGCGGAAGCCUGAUGCAGCAACGCCGCGUGCGGGAUGACGGCCUUCGGGUUGUAAACCGCUUUCGCCUGUGACGAAGCGUGAGUGACGGUAAUGGGUAAAGAAGCACCGGCUAACUACGUG